GAUGAACGCUGGCGGCGUGCCUAAUACAUGCAAGUCGAGCGAACAGAUGCGGAGCUUGCUCCUUUGACGUUAGCGGCGGACGGGAGAGUAACACGUGGAUAACCUACCUAUAAGACUGGGAUAUCUUCGGGACACCGGAGCUAAUACCGGAUAAUAUAUUGAUCCGCAUGGUUCAAUAGUGAAAGACGGUUUUGCUGUCACUUCUCGAUGGAUCCGCGCCGCAUUAGCUAGUUGGUAAGGUAACGGCCUACCACGGCAACGAUGCGUAGCCGACGUGAGAGGGGGAUCGGCCACACGGGAGCUGGGACGCGGUCCAGACGCCUACGAGAGGCAGCAGUAGGGAAUCGGACGCAAUGGGCGAAAGCCUGACAGAGCAACGCCGCGUGAGUGAUGGAGGUCUUCGGAUCGUAAAACUCUGUUAUGAGGGAUAAACAAAUGUGUAAGUAACUAUACACAUCGUGACGGUACCGAAUCAGAAAGCCACGGCUAGCUACGUG
Molecule: ribosomal RNA, 497 nt
Filed under: uncultured bacterium
Lineage: Bacteria
Description: partial 16S ribosomal RNA
Rfam family: Bacterial small subunit ribosomal RNA
Source: RNAcentral